This is a long non-coding RNA of Oncorhynchus tshawytscha (Chinook salmon), 2244 nucleotides long. Lineage: Eukaryota; Metazoa; Chordata; Actinopteri; Salmoniformes; Salmonidae. The record is from Ensembl.
GUUUGCUGUUUAUUUGAGCAAUAUGAGAUGGAAGGAAGUUCCAUGCAUUAAGGGCUCUAUAUAAUACUGUACGUUUUCUUGAAAGAAUAAAAAUAAAACGGAGAGGAUGCAUGUUUUGGAAUAUAUUUUUUCUUCCUUCUUUUACUCUGUCAUUUAGGUUAGUAUUGUUGAGUAACUACAAUGCUAUUGAUCAGUCCUCAGUUUUCUCCUUUCACAGCGAUUAAACUCUUGUUUUUUUUCUGGCUGGAUUGGGGACGGUGUCAGCUGGGAUGCUACCUGAAGGAGUUCAGAGUAUUAUCCCUAUGUGGCGUACCUGGGGUGUCUGAUCUGCCUCUGCCUGACCCAUCUGUGGGUGGUCGUCUCCUUCAGAAACCCAGACAGUUGCAUCCUACUCUACACAGGCUGGGAACCAAUCAUCACUGCCAUGGUCAUCAGCAGUAUCAGAGGAUACUAGAUCGGAACAUCGGAGCAUCCUGAACACAACUGUAUAAGACCCGAGCAUGGCGGGAAUGAUAGUCUACACGCCAGUUAUGAAUAGUUGUUGGGGGGAACUUGGUUGCCAACUGGUCCAGUCGUAUCACCACUGAUCUGCAGGCAGGUGCCUGAGGAUCGAAGGAGCUGCUACAACCCCUGCAGGACCUUUUGUGGCUCAGGUGCUGCUCCUGUCUAUCACCUUCUUAGCUGCAGCUUUUCUACAGGUAAACCAUAAAGCAAGAGAGAUCAGUUAGGCCAAUUCAUGUGUCUCAGUAGUCAUAAGUGGGUUAUUUCUCCUCUGCUCCUUUAUUAACACUGAUACGGAGUAUACCAAACAUUAAGAACACCUGCUCUUUCCAUGACAUAGACUGACCAGGUGAAAGCUACUGCAUGAGCCCUUAUGGAUGUCACUUGUUAAAUCCACUCCAAAUCAGUAUAGUUGCAAAUUAUUUUUAAGCCUUUUGAGACAUGGAAUGUGUAUGUGUGCCGUUCAGAGGGUGAAUGGGGAAGACAAAAGAUUUAAGUGCCUUUGAACAGGGUAUGGUAGUAGGUGCCAGGCACACUGGUUUGAGUGUGUCAAGAACUGCAAUGAUGCUGGGUUUUUCACGCUCAACGGUUUCCCUUGUGUAUCAAGAAUGGUCCACCAGCCAAUGGACAUCUAGCCAACUUGACACAACUGUGGGAAGCAUUGGAGUUAAUAUGGACCUGCAUCCCUGUGGAACGCUUUUGACACCUUGUAGAGUCCAUACCCCGACGAACUGAGGCUGUUCUGAGGGCAAAAGGGGGGUGGUCUUAAUGUUUGGUAGUCAGUGUAUACUAUAAUAAAGGACUGACUCACUCUUUUUGCCCCUUCCGUAUAUCUUCCUGUGUUCUCUUCUCUCAGGUCUUCACUCUGCUGUGUCUUGCUGACCGGAUGGUCCAUUGCCUGUGGUGGACGGGCAAGGACCCAGACAGUUACUCCAUCCCCUACCUCACCGCUCUGGGGAUCUAUUGGGCACGGCCCCCCUCGCUCUGGCCUUCUUCCUGUUCUGGCUCAUAGGGGAGCAGGUUCCCACUGGAGACUGACACCCUGGGUGCUUCAUCUUAUACUAUUCUCCUUUGAUUCUGCCUGGGUAAAAGUAGGCACGAAACGUAGCAAUGCCUUCAAAUUAUGUAGGCAACUCCACACACAGUUGAGAAAUUCUAAACAUUCCCUUUACAAGUCAAAUGUUUAAUACAUUUAUUUGAAUUUAUUCAGACGAUUGCUUUGUGGUGUUGGUCCUUCUGUUGGUUGAAAUUUGAGACAAUAUCCACAGGAGAGUGUUAUUAAUCUGACUUCAUAAUGCGGUUCUCUGCCAUUAACAAUCAAGAUUUGUUUGCUCGUGCACAUGAUGAAAGUAACCGAAGUCUGCAGGUGUUUACAUGGUUUUUCACAUGUGCCAGGUUAUAUACAUUUAAACGGCAGUACAGGCGCUCUAAAAAGUCAGAUAAACAAUACUUUUUUGUGGAGAUUUUGUCUCUUUGUUUCGACUGGCUGAAGGACCAACUGCACAGACAACUGGUAAAGUGCAAAUACUGAACAAAAAUAUAAACGCAACAUACAAUGCAAAUGUAAAAGAUUUUACUGAGUUAGUUCAUAUAAGAUAAUAAGUCAAUUUAAAUAAAUUCAUUAGGUCCUAAUUUAUGGAUUUCACGACUGGGAAUACAGAUGUUUUAUAUAUAAUAUAUAUAUAAUAUAUAUAUGACAAAAUAUAUAUGACAAAAUAUAUAUAUAUAUAUAUAAAAAAUACC